This 946-nucleotide ribosomal RNA is filed under the name Escherichia coli. Its description in RNAcentral is "partial 23S ribosomal RNA". It matches the Rfam family "Bacterial large subunit ribosomal RNA", at positions 1 to 978 of the family's 2925-position model. Lineage: Bacteria; Pseudomonadati; Pseudomonadota; Gammaproteobacteria; Enterobacterales; Enterobacteriaceae. The record is from RNAcentral.
GGGUUGUGAGGUUAAGCGACUAAGCGUACACGGUGGAUGCCCUGGCAGUCAGAGGCGAUGAAGGACGUGCUAAUCUGCGAUAAGCGUCGGUAAGGUGAUAUGAACCGUUAUAACCGGCGAUUUCCGAAUGGGGAAACCCAGUGUGUUUCGACACACUAUCAUUAACUGAAUCCAUAGGUUAAUGAGGCGAACCGGGGGAACUGAAACAUCUAAGUACCCCGAGGAAAAGAAAUCAACCGAGAUUCCCCCAGUAGCGGCGAGCGAACGGGGAGCAGCCCAGAGCCUGAAUCAGUAUGUGUGUUAGUGGAAGCGUCUGGAAAGGCGCGCGAUACAGGGUGACAGCCCCGUACACAAAAAUGCACAUGCUGUGAGCUCGAUGAGUAGGGCGGGACACGUGGUAUCCUGUCUGAAUAUGGGGGGACCAUCCUCCAAGGCUAAAUACUCCUGACUGACCGAUAGUGAACCAGUACCGUGAGGGAAAGGCGAAAAGAACCCCGGCGAGGGGAGUGAAAAAGAACCUGAAACCGUGUACGUACAAGCAGUGGGAGCACGCUUAGGCGUGUGACUGCGUACCUUUUGUAUAAUGGGUCAGCGACUUAUAUUCUGUAGCAAGGUUAACCGAAUAGGGGAGCCGAAGGGAAACCGAGUCUUAACUGGGCGUUAAGUUGCAGGGUAUAGACCCGAAACCCGGUGAUCUAGCCAUGGGCAGGUUGAAGGUUGGGUAACACUAACUGGAGGACCGAACCGACUAAUGUUGAAAAAUUAGCGGAUGACUUGUGGCUGGGGGUGAAAGGCCAAUCAAACCGGGAGAUAGCUGGUUCUCCCCGAAAGCUAUUUAGGUAGCGCCUCGUGAAUUCAUCUCCGGGGGUAGAGCACUGUUUCGGCAAGGGGGUCAUCCCGACUUACCAACCCGAUGCAAACUGCGAAUACCGGAGAAUGUUAUCAC